This 1047-nucleotide long non-coding RNA is filed under the name Equus caballus (horse). Its description in RNAcentral is "lncRNA (ENSECAG00000055979.1)". The record is from RNAcentral. Lineage: Eukaryota; Metazoa; Chordata; Mammalia; Perissodactyla; Equidae.
GUUUUUCUGGAAGCCCAUCUCAGUUCUCCUCUCUCUUCACUGGAGUCAUUAGGGUCCUGUUUGCUUCUCAGGAUGUGGGUUCUUCCCCUUCUUAGGUUACUCUCCACCCUCUCUCCCUGAAUACCUUCCACCUGCUCAUGGAUGUCUCUGACGCUGCCUGCCUGUCAGGGCUGCUGAAUUUCUCCUGUGUCCUUCAUGUCCCCUGGUGAGCUGCCUUUAUAGACACUUAUGGAAAAACUUACGGAGAACACUUACGGAAAAAACAAGGUGAAAAAGAAUAAAUGUCUUGCCCAACUCGGGCAACCUCAGAGAGUGACAAGACUAGAGAGAGAGCCAUUCAGUGCUCUCUCUUCAGACUGCUCAAUUGAAAAGAACAGAUAUUUCGAAGGCUCGCGAUCCAUAUUGUAAAGUUGCCUUUCAGAAAAUUUAUGCAAGUGUGUAUUUGCACUGAAGAGGUGGCAUUUGAACACCAACUGCACAGGCAGGGCUUGUGAUGGAGGUCAGUGUGGUGGAACAGCCACCUGAACUGGAACCAGUACCACUGGGAGUUAACCCUAGCUCUGCCACUUCUGAGCUCUCUGACAUUGGAUUAUCUGUGGCUGCUGUUUUCUUCACAGUUAUUCAACAAAACAGGAAUGCCGAGAGGAUGGACCAGGCCACAGGCACAACUGGAUCUAGUGCAGCUGUUGAUGUCAAUAGGACAUUGUCUCCUUCCCCAGAUCUUCUUUUGACUCUUUGGGCUCAUUUUCAGGUGGAAUUUUUCCACUUUGUGGCAAAAGAUAUACUUGGGUAGCUUUAAACUUAGAUAUUCCUCAUAAAUAACAAUCUAGGGUAAAAGAUAUGAAAUGCUCUUCUGCCAUAUCCAGACCAAGUCCUGAAAAUGAUUUAAUUGACUAUGUCUGUGGCACAUAUUCAUCUCUGGACCAAGCCUUGUGUCCUGGGGGAUUUAUAUUCUGAUUGGCCAGCCAGAAGCAUAUGCCCAUUUCUGUGUUUGCAAGUCCUCCAGAUAGAGAAGGAAAGCUACCCAAAGGAAACGUAAGAGGACAG